Molecule: ribosomal RNA, 392 nt
Filed under: uncultured bacterium
Lineage: Bacteria
Description: partial 16S ribosomal RNA
Rfam family: Bacterial small subunit ribosomal RNA
Source: RNAcentral
ACACGUAGGGGCCUGACGUUGUUCGGAAUCAUUGGGCGUAAAGGGCGCGCAGGCGGCCGUCCAAGUCCGGUGUUAAAUGGUCGGGCUCAACCCGAUCAUGCGCUGGAAACUGGGCGGCUUGAGUCCCGUAGGGGAUGCCGGAAUUCCAGGUGUAGGGGUGAAAUCUGUAGAUAUCUGGAAGAACACCGAUGGCGAAGGCAGGCAUCUGGGCGGAGACUGACGCUGAGGCGCGAAGGCGCGGGGAGCGAACAGGUUUAGAUACCCUGGUAGUCCGCGCAGUAAACGAUGCGCACCAGGUGUCGGGCGGCAGCGCCCGGUACCGGAGCUAACGCGAUGAGUGCGCCGCCUGGGGAGUAUGCCCGCAAGGGUGAAACUCAAAUGAAUUGACGGGG